GACCUAGUGGUGUAAUGGUAACACCCUAGCUGUGAAUAGAGUGCGGCUACACGACGUUACGUUGGAGUUCCCCGUUCGAUUCAGGGCCGGGUCG
Molecule: non-coding RNA, 94 nt
Organism: Mycena rebaudengoi
Lineage: Eukaryota; Fungi; Basidiomycota; Agaricomycetes; Agaricales; Mycenaceae
Source: the annotation of a GenBank genome assembly